Molecule: ribosomal RNA, 482 nt
Filed under: uncultured bacterium
Lineage: Bacteria
Description: partial 16S ribosomal RNA
Rfam family: Bacterial small subunit ribosomal RNA
Source: RNAcentral
AUUGAACGCUGGCGGCAUGCCUUACACAUGCAAGUCGAACGGUAACAGGUCUUCGGAUGCUGACGGGUGGCGAACGGGGGAGUAAUACAUCGGAACGUUCCCAGUCGCUGGGGAUAAGGGGUCGAAAUCUUUGCUAAUACCUCAUACCAGCUAAUGAUUAGAGCAGGGGAGCGCAAGCGUUUGCGCGGUUCGUGCGGCCGAUGGCAGAUUAGGUAGUUGGUGGGAUAAAAGCUUACCAAGCCGACGAUCAGCAGCUGGUCUGAGAGGACGAGCAGCCACACUGGGACUGAGACACGGCCCAGACUCCUACGGGAGGCAGCAGUGGGGAAUCUUGCACAAUGGGCGAAAGCCUGAUCCAGCAAUGCCGCGUGAAGGAUGAAGGCCUUCGGGUUGUAAACUGCUUUUGUACGGAACGAAAAGGCUCUGGCUAAUCCCUGGGGAACAUGACGGUACCGUAAGAAUAAGCACCGGCUAACUACGUG